RNAcentral lists this long non-coding RNA (345 nucleotides) under Drosophila melanogaster (fruit fly). Its description in RNAcentral is "long non-coding RNA:CR45424 (Dmel_CR45424)". Lineage: Eukaryota; Metazoa; Arthropoda; Insecta; Diptera; Drosophilidae. The record is from RNAcentral.
ACUGGCGGAAGUUCGCCCGGCGAUGUCACUCGUGUAAAAUAUGGCACUGGCCUUGGGAGCAGCACGCACAAUGCGACUGCGCCGUCAAGACGAUUAACAGCAGAAAAGGCAGCAAGAUCAGCCAGAGCUGGGAGAAAUAAUAAAAAGUGCUGCAACUGCAACUGUGGCCAUGAAGCCAGCGGCGUCAUCCAGAAGGAGAAGGAGCAGCACCAUAUUGUGCCCAUCUGGACCUGGCCUGCACGCGAUUGGGAUGGAGUGCUAACGAAGUUACAUUUAAUUAAAUAUAACGAUGGAUUUUCAUUUGGAACUAAUUUAUUUAUUAUCAUUAUAAUUCGAUUAAACUAA